CUACGGGUUGCAGCAGUGGGGAAUAUUGGACAAUGGGGGAAACCCUGAUCCAGCAAUGCCGCGUGUGUGAAGAAGGCCUGCGGGUUGUAAAGCACUUUCGGUUGGGAGGACUGCUUCUAGCACUAAUAUUGUUGGAAGUUGACGUUACCUUCAGAAGAAGCACCGGCUAACUCCGUGCCAGCAGCCGCGGUAAUACGGGGGGUGCAAGCGUUAAUCGGAAUUACUGGGAGUAAAGCGCGCGUAGGCGGCUAGAUCAGUCGGGUGUGAAAGCCCCGGGCUUAACCUGGGAACUGCAUCCGAUACUGUCUAGCUUGAGUACAGGAGAGGAGAGUGGAAUUCCACAUGUAGCGGUGAAAUGCGUAGAUAUGUGGAGGAACACCAAUGGCGAAGGCAGCUCUCUGGCCUGAUACUGACGCUGAGGUGCGAAAGCGUGGGGAGCAAACAGGAUUAGAUACCCCAGUAGUC
Molecule: ribosomal RNA, 465 nt
Filed under: uncultured bacterium
Lineage: Bacteria
Description: partial 16S ribosomal RNA
Rfam family: Bacterial small subunit ribosomal RNA
Source: RNAcentral